CAGGAGAUCCACGCAGGGAUGCGUGGAUCAGUUCGGGGCCGACCAGGGAUGGUCGAUCCCCGAACGGUCCGUC
Non-coding RNA from Acyrthosiphon pisum (pea aphid), 73 nucleotides. The record is from Rfam. NCBI's taxonomy places the organism in Eukaryota, Metazoa, Arthropoda, Insecta, Hemiptera, Aphididae.